ACCCUGGUUUGAGUUUGAGGGGAAAACUCUCUGAACCUCAUUGUCUCCCGCAAAGCUUGGAAGGCUGAAGAGUUGGGUGGCUCAACUCGUUCAACCCAAGAGGAAAAGGUAGCUCUUAAAGUUCUGCUUUGGACCAUCCCAUUUGCAGUAGGCUGUAGUCCAUAUAGCUUCUACGCCUCAGAAACCCUCGCCACCAUGGACCGUCCGUGUCAUCGCUCGUUAUAGGGGCAGAUUCAUGUUGCGCAUGUUUCUGUCACAUAAACGCAUAUAGUGUAAAUUUCCAAAUAUAUCAAUGUACAUAUUUUUUAAGUUACAUGUGUAGAAGAUGUAAUAAGUGUGUGAUCUGUAUGUGUGUGUAUGAGUUUAUUGAAUAUAUUUUAUACAUGAAAAAAUAUACCUUUAUAUAAAACAAAAAAUAAAUAGAAUACGUGAGA
Molecule: long non-coding RNA, 434 nt
Organism: Spea bombifrons (plains spadefoot toad)
Lineage: Eukaryota; Metazoa; Chordata; Amphibia; Anura; Pelobatidae
Exons: 3
Source: RefSeq, a predicted model, not a curated record